CCGCACGGGUGAGUAACACGUAUGCAAUCCACCUGUAACAGGGGGAUAACCCGGAGAAAUCCGGACUAAUACCCAUAAUAUGGGCGCUCCGCAUGGAGAGCCCAUUAAAGAGAGCAAUUUUGGUUACAGACGAGCAUGCGCUCCAUUAGCCAGUUGGCGGGGUAACGGCCCACCAAAGCGACGAUGGAUAGGGGUUCUGAGAGGAAGGUCCCCCACAUUGGAACUGAGACACGGUCCAA
RNAcentral lists this ribosomal RNA (239 nucleotides) under uncultured bacterium. Its description in RNAcentral is "partial 16S ribosomal RNA". It matches the Rfam family "Bacterial small subunit ribosomal RNA", at positions 98 to 334 of the family's 1533-position model. The record is from RNAcentral.